CGCUCGCGCUUUUAGUGCGCCACGGCACCCUUGAUAGAAGAGAGGGACGCCCACCUGGCCGUCUCUCUCCAUCUCCACCCACCUCUCACCACACCAUACCGCGCCCGUCACGCAGAUACUCUCGUGCACACACGCACAUCAAUUCACUUGGCGGCACAACAAAGUAGAAACAGAACCGAAAAGAAAGCCACCGAUGCGCCGUCAGCAGUCCUUUACCGUGAAGGCCGCUGCUGGUGCCCCCGCCACCGCGGCAGUGCCGGUCGAAGCGGAGUGCCUCGAUGCCCCCCGCGGAUUCGGCAGUGGCGUAGACAUUAGCACGUACCGGUACCUAGACGAGCUAUGGGCAGCAGCGCUUCUUCAGGCGGAGGCGUCCGUGUUGGCGUUGCCACACACCGGCAGCAGUGGGCUGCAGGGAGCCAAGCACACUUCUGAGGCCGACAAUGCGGGGAGGAAGGAAACCUCGAUAAAACAGGCGGCGGACAAGACGGGGGUCUCUUCGAUGUGCAACGAAAGUCUCCUGACGUUGUCUCCCCUCCCUCGCGCACCAGUGCUACCCAGCGGCUCGGCAGCACAUUCGCCAGUGCCACAGCCGCCGCCACCAGUCGUCGUGGCUCGCAGAUCCAUGCCAUCUGCUACUAGCAAGCAGACAUGGAUGCGAGUGGAAGCGCAGCCGAACUUGAAGCGAAACGCGUACACCGCCCGUCGGGGCGUCGCGUGGGUGGUGCAGUAACGUUUCGGCACCCAUCGUACAACAAGAUCCAGCGCGCUCUCUUCCUUUUUGUGGCGGUGCUUGAAUCUCCGUGUAUGCUUGUGCGCAGAUGUGCAGGGAGACGUGUACGGCUCGUCAUCGCAUCCCGGUCCCCAACCCUACCUCCACACGCUUCUCCUUCAGUCGUCGUCAUCUCCUCCUUUCCUGCCGCGUUGGGUAGAGCGAGAAUGUCAGCAUCGAGCCAAGCUGCAACAGCAUUCGCAAUGAUGAGAGGAAUGCAUGCGCCACUCAUCCAUGCUUGCACGUGCGCCCAUCCUCAGCGGUGGCGCUUCAGGCCAGCGUGCUUGCAUGCCCUCUCUCGCAUCGGCAUUAACCGCGUUUGUGGUUCCUCGUCACCCCCUCCCUCCUCCUGCGCACAUCUCCCUCGUUUUGUGCGACUGCCCUGCCUCUUUCCGCAUCGGCCCCCGCUCGUCCAUCUCUCUCUCUCUCUCUUUCACACUGUGCCCUCUGCUGCGGCUUGUCUGCUCUGCUUCUCACAUGAACAUCACGGUGUGGCUGCCAAG
Molecule: unclassified non-coding RNA, 1272 nt
Filed under: Leishmania donovani
Lineage: Eukaryota; Euglenozoa; Kinetoplastea; Trypanosomatida; Trypanosomatidae
Description: gene:LdHU3.30.0340(CDS-product:hypothetical_prote in)
Source: RNAcentral